Molecule: microRNA, 22 nt
Filed under: Gallus gallus (chicken)
Lineage: Eukaryota; Metazoa; Chordata; Aves; Galliformes; Phasianidae
Description: gga-miR-12272-3p
Source: miRBase by way of RNAcentral
CCAAAGGUGGCUCGCGGAACUG